This 250-nucleotide ribosomal RNA is filed under the name uncultured bacterium. RNAcentral describes it as "partial 16S ribosomal RNA". It matches the Rfam family "Bacterial small subunit ribosomal RNA", at positions 1250 to 1500 of the family's 1533-position model. The record is from RNAcentral.
CAAAGCCGCGAGGUGGAGCGAAUCUCCAAAAAUUGUCCCAGUUCAGAUUGCAGGCUGCAACUCGCCUGCAUGAAGUCGGAAUUGCUAGUAAUCGUGGAUCAGCAUGCCACGGUGAAUACGUUCCCGGGCCUUGUACACACCGCCCGUCACACCAUGGGAGUCGGUAACACCCGAAGCCUGUAGUCUAACCGCAAGGAGGACGCAGUCGAAGGUGGGAUUGAUGACUGGGGUGAAGUCGUAACAAGGUAAC